GACAGAGGUCCCGAGCGUUAGGCGGAAUCACUGGGCUUAAAGCGUGUGUAGGCGGAUCGUUAAGUGCCUUGUGAAAUCCCAUGGCUUAACCAUGGAACUGCUUGGCAUACUGGCGAUCUUGAGCCACUUAGGGGCAACCGGAACAAAUGGUGGAGCGGUGAAAUGCGUAGAGAUGUGGAGGAACACCAGUGGCGAAGGCGGCUUUCUGGUCUGUAACUGACGCUGAGGCGCGAAAGCGUGGGGAGCAAACAGG
RNAcentral lists this ribosomal RNA (253 nucleotides) under uncultured bacterium. Its description in RNAcentral is "partial 16S ribosomal RNA". It matches the Rfam family "Bacterial small subunit ribosomal RNA", at positions 524 to 776 of the family's 1533-position model. The record is from RNAcentral.